GACGAACGCUGGCGGCGUGCUUAACACAUGCAAGUCGAACGGCAAGGCCCUGCUUUUGUGGGGUGCUCGAGUGGCGAACGGGUGAUUAACACGUGAUUAACCUGCCCUUGACUUUGGGAUAACUUCAGGAAACUGGGGCUAAUACCGGAUAGUAGCUCCUGCUGCAUGGUGGGGGUUGGAGAGUUUCGGCGGUUUGGGAUGGACUCGCGGCUUAUCAGCUUGUUGGUGGGGUAGGGGCUUACCAAAGCUUUGACUGGUAGCCGGCCUGAGAGGGUGACCGGCCACAUUGGGACGGAGAGACGGCCCACACCAAUACGGGAGGGAGGAGUGAGGAAUAAUGCACAAUGGGCGGAAGCAGGAUGCAGCAACGCCGCGUGCGGGAUGAAGGCCUUCGGGUUGGAAACCGAUUUCGCAUGGGACGAAGCGUGAGUGACGGUAAUGGGUAAAGAAGCACCGGCUAACUACGU
RNAcentral lists this ribosomal RNA (467 nucleotides) under uncultured bacterium. RNAcentral's name for it is "partial 16S ribosomal RNA". It matches the Rfam family "Bacterial small subunit ribosomal RNA", at positions 28 to 506 of the family's 1533-position model. The record is from RNAcentral.